RNAcentral lists this ribosomal RNA (2637 nucleotides) under Chara braunii. Its description in RNAcentral is "eukaryotic LSU rRNA". The record is from RNAcentral. Lineage: Eukaryota; Viridiplantae; Streptophyta; Charophyceae; Charales; Characeae.
ACUCUUGCGGAGGAGCUUUAUCUCAGGAGUGUCGCAGACGAGGAGAUGGCAAGAUGCAUGGCCUAUAUCUGCAAGAUUGAUCCAGCAGCGCCUCUCGAUAUCAGCUAUGUGGUUCGAUAGUCUAUAGCCACGCGGGUUCUCAAUGACGAGGCGCCGGAUAUGGAGUCCCAGACGGCAACACUUACGAGGGGGUACCGCUUAUUAUCAUGGAUUGAGGUUCUCUCUUUUCAGUCAGUAUGAUGUAUUACGACAUUAUUAUUUAUUAGUGACUGCAGCCCUCCGAUGGCUGCUCCCUGCAUACUCUGUGUACUGCUCUUCGGUCUCGUAUCUCUGGUCAUACUCUUGCAGAGUCUGGUUUCUGGUCUUCUCAUUCUGUCAAUGUCAAUUGCUCUAUGAUGUAUGUAUGUUAUUUUCCUCCUUAUGAUACACAGGCUACACUCAAGGCAGCUCGAAGGACUCCUGGAUGAUAGGGACUCCAGUGACCUUGAGUCUAAUCUUUAUACGGGGUCAGGUGCAGGCGAUAAACCCGAACGCCUCACUCUAAGCCGUGUUGCCGCUGGCAGGAGGGAUAACCCUGACUACUCGGCUAUAUGACAAAGUGUGACUGCUUCUAAAUACACCUGGGUGACAGCCGGCCAGUCCUCCAACCCACUGAGCUCCGUCCGGGGAAGGAUAUCUAACCGGACCCUUGAAGCAGAGGGGGCGCGACAUCGUGAGCCUGGGUGAAGAGGGUCCCAGUGCAGAUCUUGGUGGUAGUACAAAAUAUUCAAAUUAAAACUUUGAAGACCGAAGUUGAGAAGGGUUCCAUGUGAACAGCGCUUGGACAUGGGUCAGUCGGCCCUAAGAGAUGUGRAAACCUUGUAUCAAGGGCGCACUGCGCACCGCACAUCGAAAGGGGUUUUGGUUAAAUUUUUCGAACCUGGUUGCGGAGGUGAACGGUAACGUAACCAGCUCCGAAAAUGUCGGCAAAGCCGUGGGGAAGGUUCUCUUUCCUUCUUGAUGGCUCGCCUUCCCUGGAAUCGGAUCAACCGGAGAUAGGGUGCAGCGCCCGGCAAAGCACCGCGCGUCCUGUGGUGUCCAGCGCGCCCCCGACGGCCCUUGAAAAUCUGGAGCUGCGGGUACCUCUCACGCCUGACCGUACUCAUAACCGCAUCAGGUCUUUUCCUUGAGCAGCCUCUGGUGAAAGGAAAAAUAUAGGUAAGGGAAGUCGGCAAUAUGGAUCCGUAACCUUGGGAAAAGGAUUGGCUCUGAGGGYUGGGCCUAGGGGUCUGCGCCUCGAUGUCAUUGGCUGUCGGUGGUCUGUGUGAGCUGCUCUCGUGGUGAGGGCGGAGCCCGCGUGCCAGUGUGCCGACGGGCGUAGAAUGUCUUAUGUCCCCACCUUUCGGGUGGGGCCGUGGGACUCUCCCUAAGCAUCAAACUGUCGACUAAGAACUGGUGCGGACAAGGGGAAUCUGACUGUUUAAUUAGAACAAAGCAUUGCGAUGGUCCCAACGGAUGUUGACGCAAUGUGAUUUCUGCCCAGUGCUAUGAAUGUCAAAGUGAAGAGAUUCAUCCAACGGUAAACGGCGGGAGUAACUAUGACUCUCUUAAGCUAGCGAAAUGCCUCGUCAUCUAAUUAGUGACGCGCAUGAAUGGAUUAACGAGAUUCCCACUGUCCCGAUCUACCAUCCUGCGAAACGACAGCCAAGGGAACGGGCUUGGAAGAAUCGGCGGGGAAAGAAGACCCUGUUGAGCUUGACUCUAGUUCGACUCUGUGAAAUAACUUGAGAGGUGUAGAAUAAGUGGGAGUUCUACAGCGCAAGUGAAAUACCACUACUUUUAACGUUAUUUUACUUAUUUCGUGAGGUGGAGCCGGGGCUCUGCCCCUGCUUCUCGAUCCAAGGUGCAGGCCCUCGUGGCBUGUCCGAUCCAAGCGAAAGACAUUGUCAGGUGGGGAGUUUGGCAGGGACGGCGAAUCUGCUAGAAGAUAACGCAGGUGUCCUAAGAUGAGCUCAACGAGAACAAAAAUCUCGUGUGGAGCAAGAGGGCAAAAGCUCAUUUGACUUUGAUUUCCAGUACGAAUGCAAACUGUGAGAGCAUGGCCUAUCGAUCCUUUAGCGUUUCAAGACUUGAAGCUAGAGGUGUCAGAAAAGUUACCAAAGGGAUAACUGGCUUGUGGCAGCCAAGCGUUCAUAGCGACGUUGCUUUCCGAUCCUUCGAUGUCAGCUCUUCGUAUCAUUGUGAAGCAGAAUUCACCAAGUGUUGGAUYGUUCACCCACCAACAGGGAACGUGAGUUGCGUUUAGACCGUCGUGAGGCGAUCUUGCCCGCUCGCCUCGUCGCUUGUUGGGGUGAGUCUUGGAGCUCGACCCUUGCAUCCGUGUGGAUGUGGAGGGCACGGGAGAGCCGUAGAAUGAAAGUGUUUUAGGACUAGUUCUAGUUCAACGUGUGAAAGGACUUGCUAUCAAGGUUUAGGGCGGAAGUAGCAAAUAUGUCGAGAGCAAUUCCUACCCCUUCCAUCCUGGAAGGGGACGAAAGGACUUGCUCUCAAGGAUUAGGGUGGACGUAGCAAAUUUGUUGAGAGCAAGUCCCACGCCUUCCGUCCUGGAAUGGGAAAGUUGUGUAGAUGUAGUUUCUUAAACGAAUCAGGUCCUCGACA